This 468-nucleotide ribosomal RNA is filed under the name uncultured bacterium. RNAcentral describes it as "partial 16S ribosomal RNA". It matches the Rfam family "Bacterial small subunit ribosomal RNA", at positions 28 to 507 of the family's 1533-position model. The record is from RNAcentral.
GACGAACGCUGGCGGCGUGCUUAACACAUGCAAGUCGAACGGACAGGCCCUGCUUUUGUGGGGUGCUCGAGUGGCGAACGGGUGAGUAACACGCGAGUAACCUGCCCUUGACUUUGGGAUAACUUCAGGAAAAUGGGGCUAAUACCGGGUAGGAGCUCCUGCUGCACGGUGGGGGUUGGAAAGUUUCGGCGGUUGGGGAUAGACUCGCGGCUUAUCAGCUUGUUGGUGGGGUAGUGGCUUACCAAGGCUUUGACGGCUAGCCGGCAUGAGAGGGUGACCGGCCACAUUGGGACUGAGAUACGGCCCAGACUCCUACGGGACGCAGCAGGGGAGAAUAUUGCACAACGGGCGGAAGCCUGAUGCAGCAGCGCCGCGUGCGUGAUGACGGCCUUCGGGUUGUAAACCGCUUUCGCCUGUGACGAAGCGUGAGUGACGGUAAUGGGUAAAGAAGCACCGGCUAACUACGUG